UUACUUGGGAGUCAGACUAUGGGGGAUAAGCUUCAUAGUCAAAAGGGAAAGAACCCAGACCGUCGUCUAAGGUCCCCAAGUUGGUGUUAAGUGGAAAAGGAUGUAGAAUCGCUCAGACAACCAGGAUGUUGGCUUAGAAGCAGCCAUCAUUAAGAGAGUGCGUAAUAGCUCACUGGUCCAGGGGUUCCGCGCCGAAAAUGUAACGGGGCUCAAACACCACACCGAAGACACGGAAUGCAUAGCAUUGGUAGAGGAGCGAUCCAUUGAGAACGAAGCGAGAGCGCAAGCGCUCGUGGACCCAAUGGAAGAGAGAAUGCCGGUAUAAGUACACGAUAAAAGAGGUGAGAAUCCUCUUCGCCGAAAGUCUAAGGAUUCCUGGGGAAGGCUCGUCCGCCCAGGGUAAGUCGGGACCUAAGGCAAGGCCGAAAGGCGUAGUCGAUGGGAAACAGGUAGAAAUUCCUGUACCUAUCUUAUUUAAUGACCACGCAGUGACGCAGAAGGGUACAGCGAGCGCCCAGUUGGUGAGGCGUUCAAGCGCGUAGGGCGAUGCGUAGGCAAAUCCGCGCAUCACGAGCCUGAGACGUGACGACGAGUGAAACAUAGUAACGAAGUCCUGAAUCCCCCGCUGCCAAGAAAAGCUGCUAAGGAAAAUAAGAUAGCCCGUACCGCAAACCGACACAGGUAGACAGGUAGAGAAUACUAAGGCGCGCGAGAUAACUCUUGUUAAGGAACUCGGCAAAAUGAACCCGUAACUUCGGGAAAAGGGUUGCUCCCCCGUGUGAGUAUGAACAAUACAGAGCAUAAGGGAGCCGCAGAGAAGAGGUCCAGGCGACUGUUUAGCAAAAACACAGGUCAUUGCCAAAUCGUAAGAUCACGUAUAAUGGCUGACGCCUGCCCGGUGCUGGAAGGUUAAGGGGAAGAGUGCAAGCUUUGAACCGAAGCCCCAGUAAACGGCGGCCGUAACUAUAACGGUCCUAAGGUAGCGAAAUUCCUUGUCGGGUAAGUUCCGACCCGCACGAAAGGCGUAACGAUCUGGACGCUGUCUCAACAAGGGACUCGGUGAAAUUGAA
This 1070-nucleotide ribosomal RNA is filed under the name Peptococcus niger. Its description in RNAcentral is "Bacterial large subunit ribosomal RNA". It matches the Rfam family "Bacterial large subunit ribosomal RNA", at positions 973 to 2046 of the family's 2925-position model. Lineage: Bacteria; Bacillati; Bacillota; Clostridia; Eubacteriales; Peptococcaceae. The record is from Rfam by way of RNAcentral.